Molecule: ribosomal RNA, 556 nt
Filed under: Williopsis subsufficiens
Lineage: Eukaryota; Fungi; Ascomycota; Saccharomycetes; Phaffomycetales; Wickerhamomycetaceae
Description: eukaryotic LSU rRNA
Rfam family: Eukaryotic large subunit ribosomal RNA
Source: RNAcentral
CGGCGAGUGAAGCGGCAAAGCUCAAAUUUGAAAUCUGGUACCUUCGGUGCCCAAAUUGUAAUUUGAAGAUAGUUUUCUGGUGCUGGCCCUUGUCUAUGUUCCUUGGAACAGGACGUCACAGAGGGUGAGAAUCCCGUCUGGCGGGGUGUCCAGUGCUUUGUAGAUUUCUAUCGACGAGUCGAGUUGUUUGGGAAUGCAGCUCUAAGUGGGUGGUAAAUUCCAUCUAAAGCUAAAUAUUGGCGAGAGACCGAUAGCGAACAAGUACAGUGAUGGAAAGAUGAAAAGAACUUUGAAAAGAGAGUGAAAAAGUACGUGAAAUUGUUGAAAGGGAAGGGUAUUAGAUCAGACUUGGUGUUUUGUGAUUAUCUUCCCUUCUUGGGUUGUGCACUCGCAUUUCACUGGGCCAGCAUCGGUUCGGGUGGCAAGAUAAUGACAUUGGAACGUGGCACUACCUUCGGGUGGUGUGUUAUAGCCCUUGUUGAUGUUGCCUAUCUGGACCGAGGACUGCGGCUUUUGCCUAGGAUGCUGGCGUAAUGAUCUAACACCGCCCGUCUUG